This 713-nucleotide ribosomal RNA is filed under the name bacterium EAB-2EF63.02. Its description in RNAcentral is "bacterial SSU rRNA". It matches the Rfam family "Bacterial small subunit ribosomal RNA", at positions 48 to 739 of the family's 1533-position model. The record is from RNAcentral.
CCUAUAAUGCAAGCUCGAGCGAAUGGAUUGAGAGCUUGCUCUCAAGAAGUUAGCGGCGGACGGGUGAGUAACACGUGGGUAACCUGCCCAUAAGACUGGGAUAACUCCGGGAAACCGGGGCUAAUACCGGAUAACAUUUUGAACUGCAUGGUUCGAAAUUGAAAGGCGGCUUCGGCUGUCACUUAUGGAUGGACCCGCGUCGCAUUAGCUAGUUGGUGAGGUAACGGCUCACCAAGGCAACGAUGCGUAGCCGACCUGAGAGGGUGAUCGGCCACACUGGGACUGAGACACGGCCCAGACUCCUACGGGAGGCAGCAGUAGGGAAUCUUCCGCAAUGGACGAAAGUCUGACGGAGCAACGCCGCGUGAGUGAUGAAGGCUUUCGGGUCGUAAAACUCUGUUGUUAGGGAAGAACAAGUGCUAGUUGAAUAAGCUGGCACCUUGACGGUACCUAACCAGAAAGCCACGGCUAACUACGUGCCAGCAGCCGCGGUAAUACGUAGGUGGCAAGCGUUAUCCGGAAUUAUUGGGCGUAAAGCGCGCGCAGGUGGUUUCUUAAGUCUGAUGUGAAAGCCCACGGCUCAACCGUGGAGGGUCAUUGGAAACUGGGAGACUUGAGUGCAGAAGAGGAAAGUGGAAUUCCCAUGUGUAGCGGUGAAAUGCGUAGAGAUAUGGAGGAACACCCAGUGGCGAAGGCGACUUUCUGGUCUGUAA